CAUCAGUAGGGAUCCUUUCUAUGACAUGUUGGCAACAAGGAAAAGGAGGAUUGCCAAUAAGAAAUAAGAGCUUCCCUGGCCCAGCAGUACCAUGAUCUCAGACCUGAGCUUCCCUGGUGAGGAGGAGAACAAGCCCUGACUGAAGGUGUGUGGCACUUAGGGCUUUCUGUGAACAGCGAAGAGCCUCAGAUCUAAACUAGGAUGGG
Octodon degus (degu) is the source of this 206-nucleotide long non-coding RNA. RefSeq lists it as uncharacterized. Lineage: Eukaryota; Metazoa; Chordata; Mammalia; Rodentia; Octodontidae. The record is from RefSeq and is a predicted model, not a curated record. The transcript is spliced from 2 exons.